Molecule: transfer RNA, 68 nt
Filed under: Ceratitis capitata (Mediterranean fruit fly)
Lineage: Eukaryota; Metazoa; Arthropoda; Insecta; Diptera; Tephritidae
Description: tRNA-Ser
Rfam family: tRNA
About the family: Transfer RNA (tRNA) molecules are approximately 80 nucleotides in length. Their secondary structure includes four short double-helical elements and three loops (D, anti-codon, and T loops).
Source: RNAcentral
UCUGAUGUUGGCACAGUGAUAGUGCACUCGGCUGUCAGAAACCGCUGGUUCGAUCCCUGCCAUAAGAA